GGAAACUCCCUCAACAAAUGCAGUGAUGCUGUCUAUGAAAUUUGUGUUGUUCAGUCAUUUUCAUUUGCAUGUGUUUCUUCAGGAUCACAUUUGAAGUUCUCUUGGCUUCUUCAAGUAUUUUUACAGAAGAGGAAAUUGAAGCAAAUAGAGUUGUGACUUCUUGUCAAGGUCCACAUAGCUACUACAUAUCUAAGGGAAAAUAUGAACUCAAGUCUUCUCAGUCUCAACACUAUUCACUGAGCCCCAUAAGUGCCUGUGAAAUUUAUAUUCUUAGAUAAUUGAUUAGAUCACUGAAACAUGUUCAUUCUGCUUCUAGACAAUCACCUCUCUGCUAAGGUGUUCUGCUGUAAUUUUCCACAGAUCACAGAUUUGUAGUUGGAAAGGACUAUUGAGAUUUCUAACAAACUGAAAUCUUCAAGAACCUUUGAGGCAUCAUGCUGGCUUCAUUUCUAGCUGCUUCCCAAGAGCAGGACAUUUUCUCCAUUUUCUCCUUUAACCUUCCAGUGCAUUUAAGUUUAAAGGCACAAGGGACCUGCCUGAGUACUUGGAGGGGAAACAGAAAGAAGCUAGCACAAGAAGACUGCAACCAUCUAGCAGUCUUUUCUUUCUCAUUAAGCCCUUUAAGGAAACAACAUUCUGGCUACUAAGAACAAGGCCAGGCUUUGGAAUUGGAUUAUGCUAGCAAAUUGCAAACUUUGAGUUUUCUAAAAGGCUGCAAGAGAACUAAAGAAUUGCCAUUGGAAAUUUUUUAACCCUCUGAUUGAUGUCAGAAUAACAAGCCUACAGAAUUAUCCUGAUUUCUUGCCUCUGAUAAACCAGCUCCCUAUUCUGUGCACAUUCCACAAUUACAUCCUGAAUGGACCUCUUCUCCCAUUUAGUUUCCUUAUCUUUUCUCUCUGUGUUGACCUGGCCUGUGUAAUAAAAGAACUUAAUGUUUAUUUUGUUGUUGUUGC
This 953-nucleotide long non-coding RNA is filed under the name Monodelphis domestica (gray short-tailed opossum). RNAcentral describes it as "lncRNA (ENSMODG00000045874.1)". The record is from RNAcentral. Lineage: Eukaryota; Metazoa; Chordata; Mammalia; Didelphimorphia; Didelphidae.